CUUGGGAGGGGGGUCCCUCAGCCCGAAUUUCGAGAGGGUGCAGGCCAGGCCAAGGGGCCCCACCAGUGCAGG
RNAcentral lists this microRNA precursor (72 nucleotides) under Myotis brandtii (Brandt's bat). RNAcentral describes it as "mir-9193 microRNA precursor family". It matches the Rfam family "mir-9193 microRNA precursor family". Lineage: Eukaryota; Metazoa; Chordata; Mammalia; Chiroptera; Vespertilionidae. The record is from Rfam by way of RNAcentral.